RNAcentral lists this ribosomal RNA (497 nucleotides) under uncultured bacterium. Its description in RNAcentral is "partial 16S ribosomal RNA". It matches the Rfam family "Bacterial small subunit ribosomal RNA", at positions 28 to 507 of the family's 1533-position model. The record is from RNAcentral.
GAUGAACGCUGGCGGCGUGCCUAAUACAUGCAAGUCGAGCGAACAGACGAGGAGCUUGCUCCUCUGACGUUAGCGGCGGAAGGGUGAGUAACACGUGGAUAACCUACCUAUAAGACUUGGAUAACUUCGGGAAACCGGAGCUAAUACCGGAUAAUAUAUUGAACCGCAUGGUUCAAUAGUGAAAGACGGUUUUGCUGUCACUUAUAGAUGGAUCCGCGCCGCAUUAGCUAGUUGGUAAGGUAACGGCUUACCAAGGCAACGAUGCGUAGCGGACCUGAGAGGGGGAGCGGCCACACUGGAACUGAGACACGGUCCAGACUCCUACGGGAGGCAGCAGUAGGGAAUCUUCUGCAAUGGGCGAAAGCUUGACGGAGCAACGCCGCGCGAGUGAUGAAGGUCUUCGGAUCGUAAAACUCUGUUAUUAGGGAAGAACAAAUGUGUAAGUAACUAUGCACGUCUUGACGGUACCUAAUCAGAAAGCCACGGCUAACUACGUG